ACGGGGGCCCCGGGAACAGCAGUCGGGGAGACCUGCGGGGAGGGGAAGGGUGAUGCGAGGGGAAGCUGAGGCCCGGGGAGAGGGGCACCUCGUGACUGGGGGUAGCGGUAGAAGUGGGAAAAAGACUUUGGGGAGGGAGUUGGGACCUGAGGGGAAACUGAAGUGAGGGAGAACAGGGGAGAAGAAACAGGCCUAGGGGCAGGGGAGGCUGACCUCGUGGGGUGUGUUGGGUUCAAUUAAGACCUGAGGGGAUGGGACACCGUGAGAUCUGAGGGGGAAACAGGCCGUCCUGGCCCCGAUGAAUCCUGUGACAGUUGGGGGCAGGGACUCUGAGGACACCAUAAGAUUGGGGGGCAGGAGGGGAGACCUUCCCCCAGGUCAACCAAGGACCCCCUGACUAGGGAAAGAUCUGCCUUGGGUCACCCUGUUGAGGCCUGUCGCAGCGUCUACCAUUCCCUGCUGAACAAUAAUGACCCUUAGGGACCAUCUAAUUCUCCUUAAAUUUAGGGAAACCGAGGUCCAUUGGCUGAAGGAGACAGCCUGAGGUCCCAAGUACCAAACAAAUUACCCUUGCCUUAAAUACCUUCUCCCUCCAGACCUAGGGGUCAUCCUGGUGAACCAGCCUGGUUCGGCUCAGAGGCCCUUUCUCUGACUCGGUUCCUGGUCACUUCAGGCCUGGACUCUGGCCAAAGGGCAGGGACCUGUUUUUAUACCAUGUCCAGCACAUGGUGCCAUUCAGGUGUUUCUCGGUGGUGUCCCCACUCUGUGACCCCAUUAGGCGUUUUCUUGGCAAAAAGACUUCUCCAGCUCAUUUUACAGAGGAGGAGACUGAGGCAAACAGGAUUAAGUGACCGGGCCAGGGUCAUCCAGCUGGGAAGCAUCUGGGGCCAGGUGGGCACCCAAAGAUGCCUCUUGCUAAUGGACGGCUGCCUGGAGAGCUAGGCACUAGGGCGCCACCUAGUGGCCCAGGUGCAUAGCAAGUACUCUGUUCGGGUUUAUUGACUGGAUCUGUGCUCUUUGCAGUUCAGAAAACCAGCCUGGGAAGCGAAGGUGGUCCUAGUUCUGAUCAUUUCCAACAUUUCCGUGGCGCUUACUGUGUGCCAGGUUUUGUGCUAGCCCUUUGCAGAUACCUCACUUGUGCCUCACAAGUGUUAUUGUCACCGUUUUACAGGUGAGGAAACUGAGGGAAACAGGUUAAAGGACUUGACUAGAAUCACACAACUUGGAGGCCGGCCUGCAUUAUUACUCAGCGCAGUGCUCUAGCCGCUGCUCCGCCCAGCUGCCCUGGGUCCAGGCUGAAAGGGACCACCCCAUCUCCUGACCCUCGCUCUCCAGGCAGAAGGGCUUUCAAGGCCAUCAGGGGGAAACAAGGCCCCAGGUUGCCAUGGUGAUGACACACCAGGAUUGAGUUUGAGCUCUUGGGAUUCUGGAGCUCAAGAGGCCAUCAGUAACAUCCAUUUUACAGAUGAGCAAGCAAGAAAGGAAGGGAUUGUGGGCAGUGGGGUCAGCUCGUGGGACCUCACGAGUCCAAACCCCACCAUGUUGCAGUUGAACAACUGGGGCAGAGAGGAGGAGGGUGGGGAUGGUGAAAGAAGGGCAGGUCCAUGAUCACACAGGCAAGAGAUGCCUCCUGAGGGACGUCUCAGGUACGACUGCCCCUCUUGUGGCCACCCUGUCAGUCCCCACACGCACUUAGUGCUGAGCAGCCACCCAGCCUCUGCUGAAGACCUCCAGUGAAGGUGAGCCCCUUCCUUCCCUCGGCAACCCAUUCCCCCAAUUUCCCAUGAUUCCACUGUCACUGGAAAUUCUAGAUGGACUUCUUUUUCACGUGGGAAAGCUAAUGGGGGCAUUCACGGGGGCUUCCUCAGGGUCAUCCAAGCUUCAUGCAUUAGAGCUAGCUCUGAGUGUCAUCUGAGGGCCCGAGGCGGUAUGGGAGGGGGAUGUUCUCCUGCUGCCCUAGUCCUUGUGCAACGCCAGACAUGCAGGGCCCAGCCUCUCCCUUUGCUGUUCAGCUUCCUGCGCUGAUCCAGUCUGACUUUCGUCCACUUGUACACCAGCCCCCUGUGUCACAGCCUGAAUUCCCCGUAUCCUGGGGGAGGCUCGGACUCCUUCCUCUACUGUCCUCAGCUUACCCCCACCCCCUACCCCCCGCCCACCUCUCAUCUCUCAACCAGCUCUUUGUCCUCCAAGACAGGUAUUUUUCCAGUUCUCCAUCUUUGACCUCUUUGGAAACUCUCUUCCCUGCUCCAGAAAAUACGAGAUAUGUUGGAUCAUGGGCAGCUGGCAAGAAGGAGGCUCUUACCUGACUUGGAGCGCCCUCAAAUGUAGUGUUGGUCUCCAGUAUCCACUUCAUGGAACUCCCAGGGCUUCUGGCUAAAGGAAGGCUGGAGAUCUGUGGGCCUCAACUUCCCACUUCCUACCUGGCUCAUCUUCCCACCUUCCUCCUAGGUCCAGGCCCAGCCAGUGAUUCCUCCAGCAUGACCAGGACUGAGACCCGGGGGCCCACCGAACGGAAAUGUGCCUUGACUGGGGAAGAAGCUGCUGGAAUGGACAUCGAGGCCUCUGAGGUGGAAUUACAGUGUCUCAGUGCUGGAGGCGGGACGGGGGCAGCCGAUUCGGAAAGGUCUUCCUGAAGGUCCGGUGCCGGGCGCCCCUUUGGAAGCUCCCCUGAGCCGCCCCCACCCUGGACUGAGCCCUCCUCUGACCAGCUUCUCCGACACUGUCCUCGGAGACCGGGCAAGGGACGGGCGUCCCGAGAGUUGUGCUACCUGGAGGGAGGGCUCUCCUGGGCCCCGUUACUCAGCACAGGGCCAGGCACAUAGAACACGAGGUGAAAACUAUGUCUGUGUCCUCGAUGGUCCCGUCCCCCCUUCCAAUCCCUUUCUCUGCUUUGUUGGGCCCAGUGCUGCAAGAGCCUUCCCCAGCCCUCGCCAGCUGCUCACGGAGGCCGGAAGCAGCCAUGAAAAGGGCACAGGUUAAGGUCUGGGGACCUGAAUUCGAGUCCCAGCUCUGCCGUUCCCUAGCUGGGUGGCUGGGGUUCAUGUUUCUUUGUCUGUAUAAAGAUGAGGAAGGACUGACCAGGCCUGAAAUGCCUCCCACCUCUAAAUCCCAUUUUACUGGGGAUAAAGCCCCUCCUUUUCUCUGGGGCCCUGUCACAUGACACCUCCAGGAAACCUCCCUAUGGCUCCUCCCCUCCCCCCAUCUCACAGGGCCAUCGAUUCAGAAUUCUGUUUUCCCAUCACGCUCUGCUUCCCUCCCUUGUACUGGGACUUGUGUCUCUGGGGCAGAGCUGUCUGAAGGAAGCAGGGGCUGGAGCCCAUCCUGCUGUCGGUAACCCCAAGGCCUGACACUGUGUGGUUCUCAGAAGGAAGCCCUGGAGGACUCCUGGAUUGCUCAGUUGCUGUGACCAAGCAGCACCCACUUCCCUCGCCCACUCAGUUCCGGCCCAUCCCCAGAGCUGCUUUGGGGGCCCAGCCCCAUCUCCAUGGAACUAGGUUAGGAGGGGAGGGAGGAGCCCCUUCCCGCUUCCAUCCCUCCACCCCAGACUGUCUCAUCUGUUGCCGAAGCUCCCUUGAUGACAGCUGAAAGGCGGAGGGGGCUGCUCUCCCUCCGUUCCAUCUGCAGCUCCCAUGCUUGGAGCCCUGCCUUCCAGGUGCUCGUGACCAUCCCGCCUGGCUCGGGUUUUUCUGUCUCUGGGUGUGCUGUACCCCCUCAGGGGUAGAUCAGCUCUUUGUCACUGUGUCCUCACACCUGGGGGGGUGGGGUACCAAGCCUCAAGGAGAGUUGGAGGAGGCUGGGGGACAUGGCGGCUUCCUAACUGUGUGCAAAGCCCUUCCCCCUUGCAGCCUUCAGUGUCCUCAUCCAAAAAAUGGGUGCAGUAAUGCUGGGUUUAUAGGCCUUAACAUAUGUAAACGUGGUGGUGGAAGCUGGUCUUGUUCUCAAAGGGGAGGAGGGUAGGGGAGAGUGGGGAGAGCUCCCACAACUUGGCCCUGGCAUUGGCUCAAGAGCAGGCGGGCUCCCGGCCAGGGCAGAUGGAAAGUCAGCUUUGUUCAGGGGAGCUCCCAGGCCCGAGCAGGGGGAGGGGACCCUCCACCCGGUGAUCAUCGGGUUCUGGGCCCUGGUCAGUCCCCCGGAGGCCAUGAGCAUCUGGCCCCCAAAUGCCUCCUCUUCCCGAGGAAGCUGUUAGGGGGAGGUGGGGCUCAUGGCCGUGGCCAUCAUGGAGACAACUUGGCGUGAGGAUGGCUGGCCCUGAGAGCAGAAAAGGGCCUUCAUUACUCGGUCCCUCUCCCUAGCCACGGGCCUCCUCCCUCACCCUGCCUCCUCAGAGUAUUAAUCCUGGAUUAAAGGUAAACCCGUUCCAGUUGGGAAAGAGAUGUCCUGGUUCUGCACCUUUCCACCAGAUUCCUGGCUCCAGCUCCCCCUUCUCAGAGCUGCCCCUCCCAUUCCCUCUGACCUGCAGACAGAUUUAAUCCCCCUGGAGCCUGGGGGAGAGGACAAGCAGUAUUGAAACAGAAGAAAGCACCUUGAACUUCCUCCCCUCCCCAGCACACUGGGAGGCCUGGCUGGCUCCAGGAACAAGCCAGGAGUCCCUGCCUGUCUUCAGGAUACAGACCUCUGACCUCUCUUCCCACCUGCCUUCUCAGGCCCACCAGACAGCUUAGGGGCCUCAGGACGUCACUCCCUCGGGAUUUCAGCCCCUCCCUGGCCCGGGAACCUCAAUCCUUAUUCCUUGGGAUAUACCCCGUCUGCCCUUGUUGGGGAACAGAGGAGGUGGCUGAUGGGGAAGCUCAGAACCCGGGGGUUCCCACUGUAGGGAUGAGAUGGAAGUCGGGGGUCUUAGUUUGAUGCUGUUCCUGCCUUGGUCCUGCCUGGCUGGUUUUCCCGAGGCUGACAGCCCCCUCUUCCAGCGCCCUCCUUGCCAGCAGUCUCCCUAGCAAGCACUGGGACUACUAGUGCUGGGCUGGCCUAGGUAGCUUGGAAGUGCAGGGGAGUCUGGCCACGGUAAGACCACGUCAACGUGCCCUCCUUCCCUGGACCUGGGCAGAGAGCAGAACAGGUGGAAGGAGGGAACGGGGAGUUUGAGUGGAAUUGAGGACUGGAAAUGAUUUAGGAUCAUGGGAUAUGUGAGACUGUAGAGCCCCAUGUUACCCAUCUAACGGGAGAAACUGAGGCUAUCCAUGCAGGAGCUAGGCCCAGAGACAAGGCUUGGCCUGACUCCAUCUGGUCCUCUGUCCUGUUUCCUGACAGCUCCUAGGGUCCCCACAGCUGAGGGACAGAAAUGGGGGGUGGGACUGGGGGUCGGGACUCCUGCUGCACCAGAUCCGGGGCCCCUCAGAAAGGGCCAGCUCAUUUUGCAGUAACCCAGCCUCGGUUCCGGGCUCCCGGAUUAAUUAGAGUGCAGGGACUAAUUUUAGUAAUGAUGUUUCACCUCAGCCCAGUGCUCGAUUUCACAAAUUGCUUUUCUGUCUCCAGAGAACAGACACCAAAAUGGAAUGGGGACCCGGAGCUUGGCGAAAGUCAUUGUUUGACACAUCUUCCGCCUCCCCCUCCCCUCUCCCUGCUGAGCACUGCCCCCUCCUCCCGUCCCCCCGGGAAUCUAGAAAUGAGGAGAUGCUGAUGAGAUCAGACAGUCGGAGCACAGACCCAGAAAGACCUUAGAGAACCCAGAAUGUCAGCCCUGGGAGGCCCUGACAACCCAGAACACAGAUCGGGGAGGAGCAAAGAGACCACCAGCUUCACCUCCCUUCCUCCAAAAGGAGAAACUGAGGUCCGGGGAGCUGGUCUGGUAUCUGAAGGAGAGGAGGAGGAAGAACUGACCUGAAAGGGAGCUAUAAACAAACCGGUCAGGGGCACCUGAAGGUGUGAAUUACGGAGUGGUGAGGGGCAGUGCUAGCUCAAGGGCUGCUGGGGGACAGGGUCAAGUGGACCUUACAAACUGAGGGGCCCAGAGGAGCACAGAUCCAGCGUCUGCUCUGUCAGUGGUCCCCCUUCCCAGGGUCUUCCUCGACCCUUUUCCCCAACCCCCACCCCAUGUUCUCCCAAAUCUUGCCUCCAUAUUUUCAUCUCCGCUCCCAUUCUCUGUGUUCCAUUCCCACUUCUCUCGAUCUCCUUGAGCUUUCUCCGUUCAGGCCCCGGGCCAAUUUUCUCCCAUUUGUCCUUCCCUUCCCCCGUUACCCGUUCCUUUCCCCGUGAGCCCAGCGCCCCCUCUCCCCUCCCCCCGUCAGGGUGAGCCCUUCAUUUCUUGCCCAUCUCUGGGACGUCUCCUCUCAGCCUUCUGUCCUCCCCGGCCGCCCCCAGCAGAGCUGCUGCUGCAGUCAGU
Long non-coding RNA from Antechinus flavipes (yellow-footed antechinus), 6319 nucleotides. RefSeq lists it as uncharacterized. The transcript is spliced from 3 exons. NCBI's taxonomy places the organism in Eukaryota, Metazoa, Chordata, Mammalia, Dasyuromorphia, Dasyuridae. The record is from RefSeq and is a predicted model, not a curated record.